This 58-nucleotide transfer RNA is filed under the name Loxodonta africana (African savanna elephant). It matches the Rfam family "tRNA", at positions 8 to 63 of the family's 71-position model. From Rfam's summary of the family: Transfer RNA (tRNA) molecules are approximately 80 nucleotides in length. Their secondary structure includes four short double-helical elements and three loops (D, anti-codon, and T loops). Further hydrogen bonds mediate the characteristic L-shaped molecular structure. tRNAs have two regions of fundamental functional importance: the anti-codon, which is responsible for specific mRNA codon recognition, and the 3' end, to which the tRNAs corresponding amino acid is attached (by aminoacyl-tRNA synthetases). tRNAs cope with the degeneracy of the genetic code in two manners: having more than one tRNA (with a specific anti-codon) for a particular amino acid; and 'wobble' base-pairing, i.e. permitting non-standard base-pairing at the 3rd anti-codon position. The record is from Rfam by way of RNAcentral. Lineage: Eukaryota; Metazoa; Chordata; Mammalia; Proboscidea; Elephantidae.
UGGCAGAGUGGUUAAAGCACUUGGCUGCUAACUGAAUGGUUGGUGGUUCGAACCCACC